Molecule: small nuclear RNA, 107 nt
Filed under: Dasypus novemcinctus (nine-banded armadillo)
Lineage: Eukaryota; Metazoa; Chordata; Mammalia; Cingulata; Dasypodidae
Source: RNAcentral
GUGCUCGCUUUGGCAGCACAUAAACUAAAAUUGGAAUGACACAGAGAAGAUUAGCAUGGCCCCUGUGCAAGGAUGUCAUGCAAAUUCAUGAAGCGUUCCAUGUUUUU